Pseudophryne corroboree (corroboree frog) is the source of this 852-nucleotide long non-coding RNA. RefSeq lists it as uncharacterized. Lineage: Eukaryota; Metazoa; Chordata; Amphibia; Anura; Myobatrachidae. The record is from RefSeq and is a predicted model, not a curated record. The transcript is spliced from 6 exons.
UUGGAGGAGCGCAGCUGCCACCAAGAGUACAGAGGAGCAGAGCAGCAAUGGAGCAAUGCAUAAGGAGCUCCGUGCUGUGAGAGGGCCCUGGGCUGCCAGAGAGUGAGGGGAGCAGUGAUCAGAGCAGCAGUUGGGACCAGAGGGAUGCGUUCUGAGCACAAGCAGCAAGGGGGGUGAGCCGGAGGCAUACACAAUGGAGCCAUGUAUAAGGAGCUACGUGUCAUGAGAAGAGACACGGACAGUGACACCCUGAAUGGUGGGCGGAGAGAGAGAGGCACAUGAGUUCCCCACAGCCAUCCAUUUAGCAAUAUCCUGCUCCUGGGUCAGCCACCUGUGACACAAGUGAGUGACCGAAAUAUGGGAACACCAAUCAUCGGACCAUCGAGCGGCUGCCAGUUACUGAGUAUCUCAUAUUUGGAUGUAUUAGAAAAUGGACCACAAGUUGAAAUCAUGGAAGACAUCACUAAUGAAAAUAGGGCCAAUAUGGCUAAUGAGCUAAUAGAUAAGGAAUACCCUGAAGUCGCAGCAAACAGGGGAUAACAAAGGCCUUGGAGGAGGCAAAUUGGCAUUGCCAACCCCUUCACCUUCACACCUUGAAGCAGCUGCACCCCAUGUACUGUCUGCAGUUCCACUGUCAGGAAGCAAGGUUUCAGGAGCCUAUUAGAAAGGAAAAUAUUUCAUAUAGGGAACAUUGAGAGGACCAUGAUAUAAACAGAUGGCCUGCAAUGACAUGACACAGAAAAUAAAAGAUUGAUGACUGCAAGAAUUGAUACCAACUCCUCUUAUAUUUUAGGAUUAAUUAUUCAGUAUCUAAUAUUCAAUUAUAAUUAAAAAUAUAUAAAAAGUCUAACA